RNAcentral lists this small RNA (492 nucleotides) under Arabidopsis thaliana (thale cress). Its description in RNAcentral is "ATSL036090". Lineage: Eukaryota; Viridiplantae; Streptophyta; Magnoliopsida; Brassicales; Brassicaceae. The record is from RNAcentral.
UUUAACUCUUAUAAUAAGUCCAAUGCAUUGGAUUGUGACACAUUUUGACAAUAAAAAUACUAACAAAACUGUUUACUGCUUCUAAGCAAAUUUUUGUUGGUUUUAGUCUCUUUUGGGAGAAAAUGGGUAUAAGUAUUGUCUAAACACUUCUAAUCUAUCUCUAACUCUUAUAAUUAGUCAAAUGCAUUGGAUUGUGACACAGUUUGACCAUAGAUAUAACUAACAAAUAUAUUGAGUGCUUCUAAACAAAUUUUUGUUGGUUUUAGCCUCUUUUGGGAGAAAAUGGGUAUAAGUAUUGUCUAAACACUCCUAAUUCAUCUCUAACUCUUAUAAUUAGUCAAACACUUUGGAUUCUGACACAUUUUGACCAUAGAAACACUAACAAACCUAUUUACUGCUUCUAAGCAAUUUUUUCCUUGUUUUAGCCUCUUUUGGGAGAAAAUGGGUAUAAGUGUUGUCUAAACACUCCUAAUCCAUCUUUAACUCUUAUAA